This 354-nucleotide ribosomal RNA is filed under the name uncultured bacterium. RNAcentral's name for it is "bacterial SSU rRNA". It matches the Rfam family "Bacterial small subunit ribosomal RNA", at positions 917 to 1269 of the family's 1533-position model. The record is from RNAcentral.
GGACCCGCACAAGUAGUGGAGCAUGUGGUUUAAUUCGAAGAUACGCGCAGAACCUUACCAACACUUGACAUGUUCGUCGCGACUUUAAGAGAUUAAAGUUUUCGGUUCGGCCGGACGAAACACAGGUGCUGCAUGGCUGUCGUCAGCUCGUGUCGUGAGAUGUUGGUUAAGUCCCGCAACGAGCGCAACCCUCACUUUUAGUUGCCAUCAUUAAGUUGGGCACUCUGAAAGAACUGCCAGUGAUAAGCUGGAGGAAGGUGGGGAUGACGUCAAGUCCUCAUGGCCCUUACGUGUUGGGCUACACACGUGCUACAAUGGUAUCUACAACAGGAAGCAAGACUGCGAAGUUAAGCA